RNAcentral lists this ribosomal RNA (507 nucleotides) under uncultured bacterium. Its description in RNAcentral is "partial 16S ribosomal RNA". It matches the Rfam family "Bacterial small subunit ribosomal RNA", at positions 28 to 507 of the family's 1533-position model. The record is from RNAcentral.
GACGAACGCUGGCGGCGUGCCUAAUACAUGCAAGUCGAACGCAUUUUCUUUCACCGUAGCUUGCUACACCGAAAGAAAAUGAGUGGCGAACGGGUGAGUAACACGUGGGUAACCUGCCCAUCAGCGGGGGAUAACACUUGGAAACAGGUGCUAAUACCGCAUAAUUCCAUUUACCGCAUGGUAGAUGGGUGAAAGGCGCUUUUGCGUCACUGAUGGAUGGACCUGCGGUGCAUUAGCUAGUUGGUGGGGUAACGGCCUACCAAGGCUGCGAUGCAUAGCCGACCUGAGAGGGUGAUCGGCCACACUGGGACUGAGACACGGCCCAGACUCCUACGGGAGGCAGCAGUAGGGAAUCUUCGGCAAUGGACGCAAGUCUGACCGAGCAACGCCGCGGGAGUGAAGAAGGGUUUCGGAUCGUAAAACUCUGUUGUUAGAGAAGAACAAGGAUGAGAGUGGAAAGUUCAUCCCUUGACGGUAUCUAACCAGAAAGCCACGGCUAACUACGUG